UGUAUAAGCCUACCUGAUACAUAAGGUAUUUGCUAAUAAGGAGAUUUGUUGGGAUUUUCCUUUUUGCAUUCAUUGUUCGUGACGUAUUUUAUAAUCAACCAGUUUGAAGGAAGCAAACGCACUCCAAGAACUUAUAGUUUUCUCAUAAUUCAAACAAAUGAAAAGUAUUUAUUUACAUACUUUACUUCUAAAGAUGUACUCUGACCUGAUUGAUCCUUUGGUUUGCAUACAUGAUGUGGAAGCCCAAAGAUGUAUUUGCAUUCUCUGAAAGAGUCUCUACUCUUGUACAUCCUCUCCUUCAAUUAUUGAUAUUGAAAGUGAGGAUGACCGGCAUUGCACACUUGCUUCUCCUUCUCCAUUUCCGCUAUUGUCCAGUGAGUUUGGGAUUCAUCUAAGUUCCCCUAAUAAAUUGAAUGCAAAUGAUGGUUCAUUCAAGCUCUCAGGAUACAUUUCAGGUCCUGAUGUGUACAAUGUGAAGGUAUACAUGCCUAUAUUGAUGGAUAAGAGGUGUGUACAUCUAUACAAAUUCAACAAAUAUAUGUAUGUACUAAAUGUAACACUAGUUGUUGGUGAGAGCAACUCUCUCUCUCUCUUAAAACACACUUUUGUAUUCACGUAAAGCUAAAGUAACUCAAUGUGUGUAGAAUGUAAAGAAAUCUAACUGAUGGUUCACUCAACUUCAAUUGUUGAGAUGAUUAAAUUUGUAUGU
This is a long non-coding RNA of Solanum dulcamara, 709 nucleotides long. RefSeq lists it as uncharacterized. The transcript is spliced from 2 exons. Lineage: Eukaryota; Viridiplantae; Streptophyta; Magnoliopsida; Solanales; Solanaceae. The record is from RefSeq and is a predicted model, not a curated record.